This is a small nuclear RNA of Peromyscus eremicus (cactus mouse), 107 nucleotides long. NCBI's taxonomy places the organism in Eukaryota, Metazoa, Chordata, Mammalia, Rodentia, Cricetidae. The record is from RefSeq and is a predicted model, not a curated record.
GUGCUCGCUUCAGCAGCACAUGUACUAAAACUGGAACCAUACAGAGAAGAUUAGCAUGGCCCCUGCACAAGGAUGACACACACAUUUAUGAAGUGUCCCAUAUUAAA